GUAACGCUGGCGGCGUGCCUUAGGUAUGCAAGUCGAGCGGAUUCCGACGCAAGUCGGAAUGAGCGGCAGACGGGUGAGUAAUGCGCAGGAACCUACCUUCGAUUCAUAGAUAACUGACCGAAAGGUUAGCUAAUAUGUGAUGGUAUCGUAAGAUUAAAGGAUGUAACUAUCCGAUCGAAGAGGGGCUUGCGUCCUAUCAGCUUGUUGGUGGGGUAAUGGCCUACCAAGGCGAUGACGGGUAGCUGGACUGAGAGGUCGGUCAGCCACAGGGGCACUGAGACACGGGCUCCACACCUACGGGUGGCAGCAACCAGGAAUAUUUGGCAAUGGACGAAAGUCUGACCAAGCGACGCCGCGUGGAGGAUGAAGGCCUUAGGGUUGUAAACUCCUUUUGUCCCGACACAUGUCGGGAAGAAUAAGCCUCUACUAACUACGUGCCAGAAGUCUCGGUAAGACGUAGGAGGCAAGCGUUACCCGAAUUUACUGGGCGUAGAGAGUGUGUAGGCGGUUUGAUAAGUCUCUUUUUAAAUGCUACAGCUUAACUGUAGAACUGGAAGAGAUACUAUUUGGCUUGAGGAUUGUUCGGGAUACUGGAACAGUUGGUGUAGCGGUGAAAUGCGUUGAUAUCAACUGGAACACCGAAGGCGAAGGCAAGUAUCUGGAAUUAUCCUGACGCUGAGACACGAAAGCUAGGGGAGCGAAACAGAUUAGAGACCUGUGUAGUCCUAGCCGUAAACAAUGGAUGCUAGCUUCCUCUGAUUUAUCAGAGGAGGCGCAAGCUAACGCGUUAAGCAUCCCGCCUGGGGAGUACGGCCGCAAGGCUAAAACUCAAAGGAAUUGACGGGGACCCGCACAACCAGUGGAGCGUGUGGUUCAAUUCGAGACGAAGCGAAGAACCUCACCAGGACUUGACAUGCAAGCGUUCAACUCUUAUGAAAGUUUGAGUGUCCGCAUGGAGGCUUGCACAGGUGUUGCAUGGCUGUCGUCAGCUCGUGCCGUGAGGUGUUCCCUUAAGUGGGGAAACGAGUGCAACCCCCAUCCAAUGUUACAUAUUCAUUGGAGACAGCUCCGGUGUUUCACCGGAGAGGAAGGAGGGGCGGACGUCAAGUCAGCAUGACCCUUAUGUCCUGGGCUACACACACCCUACAAUGGCGAAUAACAACGGGUUGCAAGCCGGUAACGGCAAGCUAAUCCCUUAAAUUUCGCCUCAGUUCAGAUUGAGGGCUGAAAUUCGUCCUCAUGAAGUCGGAAUUGGUAGUAAUCGCGGAUCAGCAGGUCGCGGUGAAUACGUUCUCGGGUC
Molecule: ribosomal RNA, 1300 nt
Filed under: uncultured bacterium
Lineage: Bacteria
Description: bacterial SSU rRNA
Rfam family: Bacterial small subunit ribosomal RNA
Source: RNAcentral